GGAGGAAAGUAGGGGAUCGUAAGACCUUGCGCUUUUGGAGCGGCCGAUGUCUGAUUAGCUAGUUGGUGGGGUAAUGGCCUACCAAAGCUUCGAUCAGUAGCUGGUCUGAGAGGACGGCCAGCCACACUGGGACUGAGACACGGCCCAGACUCCUACGGGAGGCAGCAGUGGGGAAUUUUGGACAAUGGGCGCAAGCCUGAUCCAGCCAUGCCGCGUGAGUGAAGAAGGCCUUCGGGUUGUAAAGCUCUUUCAGCCGGGAAGAAAAGGCUGCGACUAAUAAUCGCAGUUCAUGACGGUACCGGAAGAAGAAGCACCGGCUAACUACGUGCCAGCAGCCGCGGUAAUACGUAGGGUGCGAGCGUUAAUCGGAAUUACUGGGCGUAAAGGGUGCGCAGGCGGUUUUGUAAGUCAGAUGUGAAAUCCCCGGGCUUAACCUGGGAAUUGCGUUUGAAACUACAAGGCUAGA
RNAcentral lists this ribosomal RNA (466 nucleotides) under uncultured ammonia-oxidizing beta proteobacterium. Its description in RNAcentral is "bacterial SSU rRNA". It matches the Rfam family "Bacterial small subunit ribosomal RNA", at positions 198 to 645 of the family's 1533-position model. The record is from RNAcentral. Lineage: Bacteria; Pseudomonadati; Pseudomonadota; Betaproteobacteria.